AUCAGAACCGGUCUGCUGCCUGGUUCUGAUCUUGGUGAUGUGGACAGAACCUCCAGAACCAGUGACAUCACUGCUCAGAGCAGACAGGGGGCGGGGCUUGGCGUGCUCUCUGCUGAUUGGCUGGAGGUGACCUCAUUGUUGCUGGUCCUCACUCAACUCCAUUACAUCAUGGCCGGCUGCUGCAGUGCAUCAUGGGAGCUGCAGUAUAUCAGGAUUGAUCAGCAGCUCUUCAACCCAGCAGGACUCUGUUAGGGGGUUAGAGGUCAAAGGUCAUGACAAAGCCACCUUUACUGAAUGCUGAUUAUUAUAUAAAUGGAAGUGACACGGCAACAGAAUAACCACAGAAAGUGAAAUAAACAUAAAUAUGAGGAAUAUGUGAAUAUGUUUUAUCCGUCCAUAUUUUCUCUAAUGUGUCCAUUUCUGUUGAGACCAUAAAAAUUUAUUUUAU
Molecule: long non-coding RNA, 448 nt
Organism: Poecilia latipinna (sailfin molly)
Lineage: Eukaryota; Metazoa; Chordata; Actinopteri; Cyprinodontiformes; Poeciliidae
Exons: 2
Source: RefSeq, a predicted model, not a curated record